GACGAACGCUGGCGGCGUGCUUAACACAUGCAAGUGGUGCGACGAACCAGGCUUCGGCCUGGGGCGAAGCCGCGAACGGGUGAGUAACACGUGGGCAAUCUACCCCUUUGAUCGGGACAACCCGGGGAAACCCGGGCUAAUACCGAAUGAGGUGGCGACUCAUGAGAGUCGUCACGAAAGGAAGCUUCGGCCUCCGCGAAGGGAUGAGCCCGCGGCCCAUUAGCUUGUUGGUGGGGUAAUGGCCUACCAAGGCAACGAUGGGUAGCUGGUCUGAGAGGACGAUCAGCCACACUGGGACUGAGACACGGCCCAGACUCCUACGGGGGGCUGCGGUGGGGAAUCUUGCGCAAUGGGCGACAGCUUGACGCAGCAACGCCGCGUGAGGGAAGAAGGCUUUCGGGUCGUAAACCUCUUUCAGUUAGGACGAAGCUUUAUUGGUUAAUAACCAAUUGGAGUGACGGUACUUUCAGAAGAAGCCCCGGCUAACUACGUGCCAGCCGCCGCCGUAA
This 509-nucleotide ribosomal RNA is filed under the name uncultured bacterium. Its description in RNAcentral is "partial 16S ribosomal RNA". It matches the Rfam family "Bacterial small subunit ribosomal RNA", at positions 28 to 523 of the family's 1533-position model. The record is from RNAcentral.